Molecule: ribosomal RNA, 208 nt
Filed under: uncultured bacterium
Lineage: Bacteria
Description: partial 16S ribosomal RNA
Rfam family: Bacterial small subunit ribosomal RNA
Source: RNAcentral
CUCGUAGGUGGCCAACUAAGUCAGACGUGAAAUCCCUCGGCUUAACCGGGGAACUGCGUCUGAUACUGGAUGGCUUGAGGUUGGGAGAGGGACGCGGAAUUCCAGGUGUAGCGGUGAAAUGCGUAGAUAUCUGGAGGAACACCGGUGGCGAAGGCGGCGUCCUGGACCAAUUCUGACACUGAGGAGCGAAAGCCAGGGGAAGCAAACG